This is a long non-coding RNA of Rosa rugosa (rugosa rose), 1348 nucleotides long. RefSeq lists it as uncharacterized. The record is from RefSeq and is a predicted model, not a curated record. NCBI's taxonomy places the organism in Eukaryota, Viridiplantae, Streptophyta, Magnoliopsida, Rosales, Rosaceae. The transcript is spliced from 2 exons.
AUUAUAUUCUAUAUCCAAUGCCGUCGCGGUCAACUUACCGGCCCUAUUGUAUCCAACAAAAUUGUUUGGCGAUGAACCAAUUUCCACCAUUUUGAUGCUUCUUCUACCUUGUUUCGAGAUAACCAAGAAUAUGCCUAUUGAACUGAACACCUGCUGAAACCCAUCGUCCUUGACCACUCUGUUUGUUUGGCAUUACUAUCGAGUUGAACAUCAUAGUCACGGAUACAAAUUGUCAUCAUCAGGAAGGAUUUCUUCUGAUUUGGAAUAGAGCACUUCGGGAACCUGAUCCUGGAGAUCAUGAGGAAUUCUAUGAUUCUGGUUAGUGUUGCUGUCAUAAACAUAUGUAUUCAUUGCCAAUGAAAACAAUUUUUUUUUUUCUUUUUUUUUUUUUUGCUGUCAUACCCUAUUAUGCAUUAUGGAAGAAACUGUUGUGAUGUGAUUAAUGAGUACUUUUCUUUCCCCUGGAGCACACAUAACUUGGUUUGAAAAUACCAUCCAUAAAAAAGAUGAAAAAAAUCAUCAAGCACAAAAAAGAAAUUCUCUCCCUUUGAGAGAAACCCUACCUCAGCGGCGGCGACCAAAGUGCAAACUUCUCGUCCGGCAGCGGCCUUGGCCUCGCUGAUGUCACGUGGUUCUGCUGCCGGACGGGGACUGAAUGAGCUAUUCCGGUUGUCCUUUGAUUGGGUUGCUCAAGUUUUCUGCAGGUGAUGGUGGUUUUGAGUUUUCAGGCAUGAGAUCUAUGGGAGGUGGCCGAUCUCGUGUUGUUAGAGGCUGGGAUUGAUGGUGCGAUUCGAAUUCGUUUGGCGGCGUCGAUCGGGGAAGGUGAAAUCGAGAUGGAUUUUGGGAUGCAGCUUAUGGCGGUGCUGGUUUCGUUGUGUUUCUUGUGGGGGUGUGUUUCGCCGGGUUUUUCAGGCAUGGCUAACUGGGGCGAUCUCGGGGCGGUGGGAAUAUGACAGAGCAGGCACUGGGGCAGGGUUGCAGCAGUGGUUUCGUCAUACUUCUUGUGGCGGCGUGUGUUGUCGGGUUUUUCUGGCAUGGUGAACUGGGGCGGACUCGAGGCGGCGGGAACAGGACGGAGCAGGCAAGGGGACGGGGCUGCGCUGGUGGUUGGGUGGUCUGGCGGUGGUGGCUGGAUCUCGGGCCAUGACAUGCCUGCUGGGCCUUGAGUGAGCCUUCCUCUUGGGCUACUUGGAUUGCAGAAUUUUGGGCUAAGAUUUUUGCCCUUGGCCCAUCUUUUAAGUUUUUAGUUAGUCUAAUUACAAUAAUUCCUUGUAUUAGGAAGCUAGGCAUUUUAUGCUCUAUGUCUCUCUAGCGUCUCUGGAGUAGUACCGAAAGAGGAUAUCCGCUA